This 480-nucleotide ribosomal RNA is filed under the name Triticum aestivum (bread wheat). Its description in RNAcentral is "partial small subunit ribosomal RNA". Lineage: Eukaryota; Viridiplantae; Streptophyta; Magnoliopsida; Poales; Poaceae. The record is from RNAcentral.
CAAACUGCAAAAGGGACAUAUAACUUCACCUCUAUCGAGUCAUCACAUUGCUCAACCCAAUUAGAUCUCGAGAAUCUUGGAGGAGCUAGCAAGAAUCAAGGAGAAACAUCAGUUGAUGGUGAGAAUCUUGGAGGAGAAAGGGUGCAGAUUGAUGAAGAUGUUGAGGAGGUUUACGUGCAAGAAAACAUUGAUGUGGAGCCCGAGCAAACUCAACCAAAUUUGGCUACUGCACCCUCAAGAAAUGGAGAAGAGAAAGAACCAAAGAGAAGGAGGGGGGCGAAUGGUGAUGUGGCUGCAAUGAUGGAGAAGUACUUGGACAUAAGGACGAAGCAGGUGGAGGAUGAGAGGAAUAAGCCAAAGGUCGUGGAUGAGUACUCUAUCAAAAACUGCAUUGAUCUGCUGAAAACAAUGGAGAUCACACUUGAAGAAGAAGUCAAGGCUUUCCGAGUCUUCAAGAUCCCCGAGAACCGAGAGAUUUUC